UGAGCUGGUGGUGGCCGCAGAGACCAGCGAGAAGCGACUGUUUACUAAAAACACAGGUCCGUGCGAAGCCGUAAGGCGAUGUAUACGGACUGACGCCUGCCCGGUGCUGGAACGUUAAGGGGACCGGUUAGCUCCAUUUCGGUGGGGCGAAGCUGAGAACUUAAGCGCCAGUAAACGGCGGUGGUAACUAUAACCAUCCUAAGGUAGCGAAAUUCCUUGUCGGGUAAGUUCCGACCUGCACGAAUGGCGUAACGACUUCUCGACUGUCUCAACCAUAGGCCCGGUGAAAUUGCACUACGAGUAAAGAUGCUCGUUUCGCGCAGCAGGACGGAAAGACCCCGGGACCUUUACUAUAGCUUGAUAUUGGUGUUUGGUUCGGCUUGUGUAGGAUAGGUGGGUGACUGUGAAGCUGUGACGCCAGUCAUGGUGGAGUCGUUGUUGAAAUACCACUCUGGUCGUGCUGGAUGUCUAACCUGGGUCCGUGAUCCGGAUCAGGGACAGUGUCUGGUGGGUAGUUUAACUGGGGCGGUUGCCUCCUAAAGGGUAACGGAGGCGCCC
RNAcentral lists this ribosomal RNA (558 nucleotides) under Streptomyces rimosus. RNAcentral describes it as "bacterial LSU rRNA". It matches the Rfam family "Bacterial large subunit ribosomal RNA", at positions 1763 to 2311 of the family's 2925-position model. Lineage: Bacteria; Bacillati; Actinomycetota; Actinomycetes; Kitasatosporales; Streptomycetaceae. The record is from RNAcentral.